GAUGAACGCUGGCGGCGUGCCUAAUACAUGCAAGUCGAGCGAACAGACGAGGAGCUUGCUCCUCUGACGUUAGCGGCGGACGGGUGAGUAACACGUGGAUAACCUACCUAUAAGACUGGGAUAACUUCGGGAAACCGGAGCUAAUACCGGAUAAUAUAUUGAACCGCAUGGUUCAAUAGUGAAAGACGGUUUUGCUGUCACUUAUAGAUGGAUCCGCGCCGCAUUAGCUAGUUGGUAAGGUAACGGCUUACCAAGGCAACGAUGCGUAGCCGACCUGAGAGGGGGUUUAGCCCCCUUGGCACUCUAACCUCGGCCCACGCCCCAUUGGGGGCCUCCAUUGGGAACCCUUCCGCAUUGGGCGAAUCUUUGCGGGAGACUCGCCGCAUGGGUCAUGAUGGUUUUGGUCUCAAAAAUCUUUUUUUUUAGGCAAACAAAAAUCUGUAAUUAUCUGUGCCCGUUUUUGGUGCACCUAAUCGAAGACCCCCGGCCCACUCGGU
RNAcentral lists this ribosomal RNA (497 nucleotides) under uncultured bacterium. Its description in RNAcentral is "partial 16S ribosomal RNA". It matches the Rfam family "Bacterial small subunit ribosomal RNA", at positions 28 to 506 of the family's 1533-position model. The record is from RNAcentral.